This is a non-coding RNA of Phoenix dactylifera (date palm), 2707 nucleotides long. The record is from RefSeq and is a predicted model, not a curated record. NCBI's taxonomy places the organism in Eukaryota, Viridiplantae, Streptophyta, Magnoliopsida, Arecales, Arecaceae.
CAAAAAAUUCUACCCUAGGCUGAACUAAAGAGGGUGUCCCCGCCGUCGCACCUUCUCCUCUCUCUCUCUCCCUCUCCGUCCCGUCUUCUCGUUGCUCGCCUCUCCUCUCGUCUCUGUUGCGCCUCUCAUCGCGUUCCAUCAGCCAACGAUCGAGAGCUCUUGACAAUCCAUUCUUGGAUUUCCUUGUGCUCCUGUUCUCAUCUUGGGUAAUAGAUCUUGGAUUAUUAAUUUCAUCUGGCUCCCAAUUAGCUUUGUGGCUACGUAUGGGGUUUAGGUUACAUGAACUAUUCUGUUACAAAUGCUGUAGAUUCUCCUGGUCAAGGUAAGUAUCCAAGCUUGAUAACGCCUUUUCUUUUUUUUCCCAACGUUUCUUUUUCCCAAAUUGAGAAAAGAAAUGUGGAAGACAUCUAGGAUGUGAGGACUUCGGUUUUGUUUUCUAAGUUCAUGGUUCAAACGAUUUGCCAAAUGAUGUUUUGGGACAUUGCGCAAGGGCUUUGAGCACUGCAUGGUGUCGUGAGAUGCAAUGAAAACAAUCAUGAUCAUCCCUUCUGAUGGCAGUUCUUUUUAUUUAAAAUGUUGCUGAGUGGUACAUUUUAAUUUAUAUUAUUCUUUUUAUUUUUUGUCUGCUGGAUUUCCUUUUUUUUAUAUAAAAAAAAAAUCUCUCAUCGUUUUGCUCUUGCAAAUGCCCCAUGAGAAGAAUCUUAAGAGUUGCCAAAUGAUGCCGCGAUGUUACGUAAGGGCUUUGAGCAUUGCAUGGUAUUGUGUGAUGCAAUGCGAUAAUAUCAUGGCCAUCCCUCCUAAUGGUAUUUUACCAAGAGUUAUUUACCUUUAGCUUAGUUGAUUUCUCUAGACCCCUCCUCUGCUUCUGCGUCAAUUUCUUUGUGCAGCAUUAUACAGCCUCACGAAUGGAAAUACAUCACUGUGAUUUUGUUUUUUCCUUUAUUUUUGGUGGAUCUGAGAUAAUGUCUUAUAAAACCUUAUAGAUAAUGUCUAUUACUUGAGUUCAUCAAGGUCUGUUCACUAUUUGUACUCUGUUCUGGUUUCUGUUUUGUAUAUUCCUGUAAGUGGUCCAGCGCAGAACAAGACCCAUUACCUUGUGCAACGGUAAUGAGUUAAAAGUACACACUGUUUCUCUGCCACACUGACCACGGAGCUUUAUUUGAUUCUGUCAUGAUCUCUGAUUGCUCCUUAAUCAGUUCUCAUGACAAAAAGAGCUCUUGUUUUCAGCUUCUUUCAUUACAGUAUCUAUUUAUGCAAAGAAUGGGAGCAUUCUGGAAUUACAUCAGGCUCAAAUCCUGUCUUGAAGUUUAUGUUCCAACUUGCUUUGUGGUUCCAUGAUCAAGUUAACCAGUACAUUGCUGCUUGCCUAUAGUAAUCUUGUUCUGAUUUUCCCCUGAUGGAACCUGGAAUAUGCGGUGGCCCAUGCACAGCUAUUGCUUCUGCUCUAUAAACUUUGCUUAGAUCAAUUUUGAUUUGUUCUUAAUCCUAGUUCCUUUAACUUCACCUUCCAUAUCCUUGCAAGAAACAUUUGAUUAAUAAACGGUUGCAAGUAUCGGAUCCAGUGCUGCAAAGGCAUUUCAUCACAAGUGUAGCUUCUUGUAAGCUCUCAGACCUUCCUGCACUUACCUAUGCAAAACCUGCCUUGCCCAAUGCUGCUCCCUUGAGUGCAGGUCAGUUUUCUACUAACUAGUUACUUACCCAUUUUCAUUCCUAGAUUAAAGGGUAAGGUCAUUCAGCAUUUUUUCAGGAUCCACCAAUGCUGAUACACAGAGUGAGUGUACUUGCCAAAGUUUCUCAUGAAUACUCUAAUAAUCAUGCUUAAGUUUCUUUUUUUGAUGGAAAACUGAAUAAUAGCAGUGAUUUUAUUCAGUUGUCUGCGAACAAUUUGUUAAUUUCUUUUGCUUGCCCGGUUAGAUGAUCAAAAAAACUGAAAUACCUACGGUAUGCUUCAGGAUGUCGAGAAGAGAAUUAGGGGGAAAAUAAGACUUCAACCCUCCCUUGCUGCAGCGGCAGAAAAAUUUCGCUGACUAUUAAAAUAUAAACGAAUAGCUAACUCUUGAACUCAAGCCAGUGUACAAUCGGCAGGAAGUUUUGGAUGUGUGGUUUUGUCUGCAGUUUAAGCAUGAUAUGGCUUUCCAAGGAUGAUAACUUUGAAUCAAGCAUUGCACUGAAGAUUGCUGAAAAAUGGCUACUGACUGGCUGCCCAUGGGUGCUCCUAUUCCUUGUGCGCCUGGCAGCUCAACGGUGGCGCCCGUCUGCCCGUCGAGUGCGCCCGCCCCCAUGAUGUCAACCCAAGGGGUGAAGCUGGGCUCAGCGAGGCUAGACAUCGUCGAGAGCCAGGACAAGAAGUACCAAGAUAUCGACCGAGAAGCUCAAGGAAUCGAGGGUAGAGAUCAAGGAGCCCGAGUGGAUCAACUACUGGAAGCCGCACGGGAAGGAGUUUGCACUGAGACGGGCAUGAAGCGCCGGACUCCUUUUCGGCUUUGUUUGGAGUGUGAUGCGGCGGGCAUAGUAAUAGGUUUUUUUGUAGAUGAAGUUGUAGGCAGGCUGUGUUAUGUAGUUGAUGCUGGGUAUAAAUGAAAGAACCAUAUAGCUUUUGGGUAAUUUGAUAAAACAGUGUCCUUGAAGCAUAUUGGCACAUGUUGUAAUAUUUAUCUAGUUCCUUUGGGCAAUGAUCUAUGGUUAUAUAGCUGUUGGGGAACUUUCA